This 497-nucleotide ribosomal RNA is filed under the name uncultured bacterium. RNAcentral's name for it is "partial 16S ribosomal RNA". It matches the Rfam family "Bacterial small subunit ribosomal RNA", at positions 28 to 507 of the family's 1533-position model. The record is from RNAcentral.
GAUGAACGCUGGCGGCGUGCCUAAUACAUGCAAGUCGAGCGAACAGACGAGGAGCUUGCUCCUCUGACGUUAGCGGCGGACGGGUGAGUAACACGUGGAUAACCUACCUAUAAGACUGGGAUAACUUCGGGAAACCGGAGCUAAUACCGGAUAAUAUAUUGAACCGCAUGGUUCACUAGUGAAAGACGGUUUUGCUGUCACUUAUAGAUGGAUCCGCGCCGCAUUAGCUAGUUGGUAAGGUAACGGCUUACCAAGGCAACGAUGCGUAGCCGACCUGAGAGGGUGAUCGGCCACACUGGAACUGAGACACGGUCCAGACUCCUACGGGAGGCAGCAGUAGGGAAUCUUCCGCAAUGGGCGAAAGCUUGACGGAGCAACGCCGCGUGAGUGAUGAAGGUCUUCGGAUCGUAAAACUCUGUUAUUAGGGAAGAACAAAUGUGUAAGUAACUAUGCACGUCUUGACGGUACCUAAUCAGAAAGCCACGGCUAACUACGUG